RNAcentral lists this ribosomal RNA (794 nucleotides) under Marasmius corrugatus. RNAcentral describes it as "partial large subunit ribosomal RNA". It matches the Rfam family "Eukaryotic large subunit ribosomal RNA", at positions 99 to 881 of the family's 3401-position model. Lineage: Eukaryota; Fungi; Basidiomycota; Agaricomycetes; Agaricales; Marasmiaceae. The record is from RNAcentral.
AGGGAAAAGCUCAAAUUUAAAAUCUGGCAGCUUYGCUGUCCGAGUUGUAAUUUAGAGAAGUGUUACCCGCGUUGGACCGUGUAUAAGUCUCCUGGAAUGGAGCGUCAUAGAGGGUGAGAAUCCCGUCUUUGACACGGACUACCAGGGCAUUGUGGUGCGCUCUCGAAGAGUCGAGUUGUUUGGGAAUGCAGCUCUAAAUGGGUGGUAAAUUCCAUCUAAAGCUAAAUAUUGGCGAGAGACCGAUAGCGAACAAGUACCGUGAGGGAAAGAUGAAAAGAACUUUGGAAAGAGAGUUAAACAGUACGUGAAAUUGCUGAAAGGGAAACGCUUGAAGUCAGUCGCGUUGGCCGGGGAUCAGCCUUGCUUUUUGUGAGGUGUACUUCCUGGUUGACGGGUCAGCAUCAGUUUCGACCACUGGAGAAAGGCAUUGGGAAUGUGGCACCUUCGGGUGUGUUAUAGCCCUUUGUUGUAUACAGUGGUUGGGACUGAGGAACUCAGCACGCCGCAAGGCCGGGUUUCSACCACGUUCGUGCUUAGGAUGCUGGCAAAAUGGCUUUAAGCGACCCGUCUUGAAACACGGACCAAGGAGUCUAACAUGCCUGCGAGUGUUUGGGUGGAAAACCCGAGCGCGUAAUGAAAGUGAAAGUUGGGAUCUCUGUCGUGGAGAGCACCGACGCCCGGACCUGAUGUUUACUGACGGAUCUGCGGUAGAGCAUGUAUGUUGGGACCCGAAAGAUGGUGAACUAUGCCUGAAUAGGGUGAAGCCAGAGGAAACUCUGGUCGAGGCUCGUAGC